CCCUGAUAUGGUCUGACUGGGAAAGAAUACAUUAGCCUCUGUCCUAUUCCUGGGGGCUCUGCCUCUCUCUAUCCAGGUUACCUCUCGAUAAGCCGGACCACAGAGGAAGCAGGGAGGGCAGUGCCACCCUGGCAAACAAGCUCUGUGGGGCCACAUACACACACACACACCAGGCACAUGAGGACAGCCGCCUUUGAUCCAGUGACCCUCCUGGGCUUGCCCAACCUGCUUCGGCAUAACCAUUUACCCAGCCCAGCCAAUAGCAGCCUCCAAGUCUAAGCUAGUCCCGAGGGUCAAGCCAAUGAGGCCAGCAGUUCUGGGGAAGGGGGCAGGCCUGCUGGGGAGUGGUGCUGGAGGUUUCCACUUGUUUGGGGGCCUGAGGAGAGGCAAAGUGUCAGGCCAGUCUAUCAUAAAAGGAGGGCUGCAAAGAUUCAGCUGACCGGCCUGUGCUCUUUGGAUGGACAGGUCCACAGCUGCAUCUGCUUAUGGACAUCUGACUUCACCUUACCUGCCCUGUACCCUGCCUCCCUCCCGCUGCCCUUCCCAUGCUCCACCCCCAACAUGCUCAGGAAGCCAUUAGGAGGUGGCUCACAUGCCCUACCUUGAACCUUGGCCACUGUCGGGAUGUUGACCUGACCGUAUGGACCAGCGCCUUUCUGAUCGAGCAUUCCAAUUACUGCUCAGGGCACCACCCCCAUCCCGGUCCUACCGGCCCGACUUGUGCCUUUGCCCUUGGGCCUCUUCCCAAGUACAGUAAGAAGGACAUCUUCGGUGGAACAGCUGGACCAGGAGAGACAUUGAGACCUUACCUUCAUGGUGGGGGCACCAUUAAGAAAAAGAGCCCCCAGGCCUGUUGUGUGAGUUGUCCUGGUUACCUAUGUGCCUUGCCCCUGUGCCUUUCUACUACUGCAUGAGCCCAUUCUUCCCACUGAGGCUGUGCAUAUUGGUGGGAGACAGCACCCCAACUUGUACAAUGCCAUUUCAAUAAAUGCCUUUGCUUUGAGCUAAUUGC
RNAcentral lists this long non-coding RNA (1012 nucleotides) under Phascolarctos cinereus (koala). RNAcentral describes it as "lncRNA (ENSPCIG00000035789.1)". Lineage: Eukaryota; Metazoa; Chordata; Mammalia; Diprotodontia; Phascolarctidae. The record is from RNAcentral.